GUAGGGGGCAAGCGUUAUCCGGAUUUACUGGGUGUAAAGGGAGCGUAGACGGCAUUGCAAGCCAGAUGUGAAAGCCCGGGGCUCAACCCCGGGACUGCAUUUGGGAUACUGUCAAGCUUGAAUGCGGUAGAGGUAAAGGGAAUUCCUGGUGUAGCGGUGAAAUGCGUAGAUAUCAGGAGGAACAUCGGUGGCGUAAGCGCUUUACUGGGCCGUAAUUGACACUGAGGAACGAAAGCCAGGGUAGCAAAUGGGAUUAGAUACCCCAGUAGUCCUGGCCGUAAACGAUGGAUACUAGGUGUUGCGGGUAUCGACCCCUGCAGUGCCGAAGCAAACGCGAUAAGUAUCCCGCCUGGGGAGU
Molecule: ribosomal RNA, 358 nt
Filed under: uncultured bacterium
Lineage: Bacteria
Description: bacterial SSU rRNA
Rfam family: Bacterial small subunit ribosomal RNA
Source: RNAcentral